Molecule: ribosomal RNA, 517 nt
Filed under: uncultured Marinomonas sp.
Lineage: Bacteria; Pseudomonadati; Pseudomonadota; Gammaproteobacteria; Oceanospirillales; Oceanospirillaceae
Description: bacterial SSU rRNA
Rfam family: Bacterial small subunit ribosomal RNA
Source: RNAcentral
AGUCGAGCGGUAACAGGAAUUAGCUUGCUAAUUUGCUGACGAGCGGCGGACGGGUGAGUAACGCGUAGGAAUCUGCCUGGUAGUGGGGGACAACAUGUGGAAACGCAUGCUAAUACUGCAUACGCCCUACGGGGGAAAGGAGGGGAUCUUCGGACCUUUCGCUAUCAGAUGAGCCUGCGUGAGAUUAGCUAGUUGGUGGGGUAAAGGCUCACCAAGGCGACGAUCUCUAGCUGGUCUGAGAGGAUGAUCAGCCACACUGGGACUGAGACACGGCCCAGACUCCUACGGGAGGCAGCAGUGGGGAAUAUUGGACAAUGGGGGCAACCCUGAUCCAGCCAUGCCGCGUGUGUGAAGAAGGCCUUAGGGUUGUAAAGCACUUUCAGGAGUGAGGAAGGGUGUACGGUUAAUACCCGUAUAUUUUGACGUUAACUCCAGAAGAAGCACCGGCUAACUCUGUGCCAGCAGCCGCGGUAAUACAGAGGGUGCGAGCGUUAAUCGGAAUUACUGGGCGUAAAGC